This 443-nucleotide ribosomal RNA is filed under the name uncultured bacterium. RNAcentral's name for it is "partial 16S ribosomal RNA". It matches the Rfam family "Bacterial small subunit ribosomal RNA", at positions 338 to 795 of the family's 1533-position model. The record is from RNAcentral.
CCUACGGGGCGCAGCAGUGGGGAAUAUUGGGCAAUGGGCGCAAGCCUGACCCAGCAACGCCGCGUGAAGGAAGAAGGCUUUCGGGUUGUAAACUUCUUUUCUCAGGGACGAAGCAAGUGACGGUACCUGAGGAAUAAGCCACGACUAACUACGUGCCAGCAGCCGCGGUAAUACGUAGGUGGCAAGCGUUAUCCGGAUUUACUGGGUGUAAAGGGCGUGUAGGCGGGACUGCAAGUCAGACGUGAAAACCAAGGGCUCAACCUUUGGCCUGCAUUUGAAACUGUAGUUCUUGAGUACUGGAGAGGCAGACGGAAUUCCGAGUGUAGCGGUGAAAUGCGUAGAUAUUAGGAGGAACACCAGUUGCGAAGGCGGUCUGCUGGACAGUAACUGACGCUGAGGCGCGAAAGCGUGGGGAGCAAACAGGAUUAGAUACCCGAGUAGUC